This is a non-coding RNA of Ictidomys tridecemlineatus (thirteen-lined ground squirrel), 1031 nucleotides long. Lineage: Eukaryota; Metazoa; Chordata; Mammalia; Rodentia; Sciuridae. The record is from RefSeq and is a predicted model, not a curated record.
UCCUUGCACUGACCCACAGACCCAAUACCUCCAGAUAGGCACCAGAUUCUGGAUAGCAAGGUUUUCCUGAGCAGAUCACAACUAAGAGGAAUGCACUCCCAUAAUUCACAGCCUCUGGUAGCUAGAACUAGAAAUAAAUGGGCCAACUGACCCUCUAUUCCAUGCAAUAUAGCGGAGCAGCAUCCAUGAUUCACCACUGUGUGGGAACUCUGAUGCAGGUGGACAAACUGAUUCUUGUCCAGUCAUAGGGAAGAAACUGUUAACAAACAUGGCACAGAACCCUCCCAGGAUGCAGCCUCAGGCAACUCAGGUGACCAGUAAGAACCAGCUGGCGAGAAACUAUAGCAGGAGAAUAGCUACUGUGCCCCACCACCUCUAGGAGGACCAAAAGACAAAGAAUGAUGAGCUUCACCUAAAGAGUUUUCUUCACCUUGGGUGCCUAAGAAUGGACAUGAUUGUGUGGGGGUGAUCAAGAUAGCAGGAUAUGCAAGUGAGGAUGAUAGCACAAUGAUCCUGUGGAAAAACAGAUGGUAGAUUCAAGGAGCAAUGACAAAUCUGUGUGUCUACCCUCCUUUUAUGUGACCUGAAGUCAGUGUCCUUUGUCCUUCUUCCCCCCGCCAGCUGUAGACCAGAUGGAAAGAGCCUUGAACUUUCACACUCAAUUGUUGAGAGGCUCCAGGCACCUGGCAUUAAGUAUUUCCUAGAAACUGGAUGAAUUUUGUGUAGAACACUGGAGGACCAUCUCCAACAUCCUAAGAUAGCACAUUGUUUUUGGAUUACUGGUCCCUCUAGUGGGCUGAAAAAAUUUUUCUUAAAACAUUCAAAUUUACCUUUUCCUACCUGUGACUUUCUAUAUGAUAUUACUGUGAGUUUGUAUAUGAUAUUUCAUGGAAGUUAAUAAUGUUCUUCAUUUAUACUUUUAAAUUCAUAGCUCUACUUUAAAUUGGUCUGCUUAGACUAUCUUUCUUAACCUGUGGUGCUGUGGAAUUACAAAUCAUGUGUCCAGAUUGACAAGCCCCAUUUUGGCCUCU